GAUGAAGAACUUAGUGAAAUGCGAUAAGUAGUGUGAAUUGCAGAAUUCAGUGAAUCAUCGAAUCUUUGAACGCACAUUGCGCCUUCUAGUAUUCUGGGAGGCAUGCCUGUUUGAGCGUCAUUAAACCUCUCUCAAGUAUGAUUACUUGGAUGUGAAGGAAGAGUACCUUAAACUUAAGGAGUGUUCUCCUUUGAAAUUGAUUAGCAGAUGGUAAUGUUAUUAAAUCCCUGAUGUUGUAAGAAAUAACAGUGGUUUUGUAGACUAUUAUCUAGCUUUAAAUUAUAAUUUUUAUUAUGGUUGACCUCAAAUCAGGUAAGGAUACCCGCUGAACUUAAGCAUAUCAAUAAGCGGAGGA
This 355-nucleotide unclassified non-coding RNA is filed under the name soil metagenome. RNAcentral's name for it is "partial contains 5.8S ribosomal RNA, internal transcribed spacer 2, and large subunit ribosomal RNA". The stretch from base 1 to 120 matches the Rfam family "5.8S ribosomal RNA", at positions 35 to 154 of the family's 154-position model. The record is from RNAcentral.